This 425-nucleotide ribosomal RNA is filed under the name uncultured bacterium. Its description in RNAcentral is "partial 16S ribosomal RNA". It matches the Rfam family "Bacterial small subunit ribosomal RNA", at positions 354 to 796 of the family's 1533-position model. The record is from RNAcentral.
GUGGGGAAUAUUGGACAAUGGGCGCAAGCCUGAUCCAGCCAUGCCGCGUGAGUGAUGAAGGCCUUAGGGUUGUAAAGCUCUUUCACCGAUGAAGAUAAUGACGGUAGUCGGAGAAGAAGCCCCGGCUAACUUCGUGCCAGCAGCCGCGGUAAUACGAAGGGGGCUAGCGUUGUUCGGAUUUACUGGGCGUAAAGCGCACGUAGGCGGUUUGUUAAGUCAGAGGUGAAAUACCGGAGCUCAACUCCGGAACUGCCUUUGAUACUGGCAAGCUAGAGUCCGGAAGAGGUAAGUGGAACUCCUAGUGUAGAGGUGGAAUUCGUAGAUAUUAGGAAGAACACCAGUGGCGAAGGCGGCUUACUGGUCCGGAACUGACGCUGAGGUGCGAAAGCGUGGGGAGCAAACAGGAUUAGAUACCCGGGUAGUCC